GCUAGCGUUGUUCGGAAUUACUGGGCGUAAAGGGCGCGUAGGCGGUACUUCAAGUCAGGCGUGAAAGCCCCGGGCUCAACCUGGGAACCGCGCUUGAGACUGGAGAACUAGAGUUCGGGAGAGGAUGGUGGAAUUCCCAGUGUAGAGGUGAAAUGCGUAGAUAUCGAGAGGAACACCUGCGGCGAAGGCGGGUUGCUGGGCUGACACUGACGCUGAAGCGCGAAAGCUAGGGGAGCGAACGGG
This 243-nucleotide ribosomal RNA is filed under the name uncultured bacterium. RNAcentral's name for it is "partial 16S ribosomal RNA". It matches the Rfam family "Bacterial small subunit ribosomal RNA", at positions 534 to 776 of the family's 1533-position model. The record is from RNAcentral.